This 237-nucleotide ribosomal RNA is filed under the name uncultured bacterium. Its description in RNAcentral is "partial 16S ribosomal RNA". It matches the Rfam family "Bacterial small subunit ribosomal RNA", at positions 83 to 334 of the family's 1533-position model. The record is from RNAcentral.
UCCAUGAGUAAAGCGGCGUACGGGUGAGUAACACGUGGGUAAUCUACCUUUUAGUGGGGAAUAACCCUGGGAAACCGGGGCUAAUACCGCAUAAUCCUGCAAAGGGAAAGCAGCAAUGCGCUGAAAGAGGAGCCCGCGGCCGAUUAGCUAGUUGGUGGGGUAAUGGCUCACCAAGGCGGUGAUCGGUAGCCGGCCUGAGAGGGCACACGGCCACACUGGCACUGAAACACGGGCCAG